This 253-nucleotide ribosomal RNA is filed under the name uncultured bacterium. RNAcentral describes it as "partial 16S ribosomal RNA". It matches the Rfam family "Bacterial small subunit ribosomal RNA", at positions 524 to 776 of the family's 1533-position model. The record is from RNAcentral.
UACGGGGGGAGCAAGCGUUGUUCGGAUUCACUGGGCGUAAAGGGUGCGUAGGUGGUGAGGUAAGUCGGAUGUGAAAUCUCCGGGCUCAACCCGGAAAUGGCAUUGGAAACUACCUUGCUGGAGGAUUUGAGGGGGGAUUGGAAUACUUGGUGUAGCAGUGAAAUGCGUAGAUAUCAAGUGGAACACCAGUGGCGAAGGCGAAUCCCUGGAAAAUACCUGACACUGAGGUACGAAAGCUAGGGGAGCAAACAGG